Molecule: ribosomal RNA, 1350 nt
Filed under: uncultured bacterium
Lineage: Bacteria
Description: partial 16S ribosomal RNA
Rfam family: Bacterial small subunit ribosomal RNA
Source: RNAcentral
GAUUAACGCUGGCGGCGUGCAUAACACAUGCAAGUCGAACGAUGAAACUUAAAUGAUUUCUUCGGAAUGAACUUAAGUGGAUUAGUGGCGGACGGGUGAGUAACGCGUGAGUAACCUGCCUUACACAAGGGGAUAGCCGUUGGAAACGACGAAUAAUACCCUAUGAAACUAUCACUUCGCAUGAAGCGAUAGUCAAAGUGUUAGCGGUGUAAGAUGGACUUGCGUCUGAUUAGCUAGUUGGUGAGAAAAAAGCCCACCAAGGCAACGAUCAGUAGCCGGCUUGAGAGAGUGUACGGCCACAUUGGGACUGAGACACGGCCCAGACUCCUACGGGAGGCAGCAGUGGGGAAUUUUGCACAAUGGGGGAAACCCUGAUGCAGCGACGCCGCGUGAUUUAGAAGGCCUUCGGGUUGUAAAAAUCUUUUGUAUAGGAAGAAAAUGACAGUACUAUACGAAUAAGGUCCGGCUAAUUACGUGCCAGCAGCCGCGGUAAUACGUAAGGACCGAGCGUUGUCCGGAAUCAUUGGGCGUAAAGGGUACGUAGGCGGGUCAUUAAGUUAGAAGUCAAAGGCUAUAGCUCAACUAUAGUAAGCUUCUAAAACUGGCGACCUUGAGUAAUGGAAGGGAAAGUGGAAUUCCUGGUGUAGCGGUGAAAUGCGCAGAUAUCAGGAGGAACACCGAUGGCGAAGGCAGGUUACUGGGCAGUUACUGACGCUGAGGAGCGAAAGCAUGGGUAGCGAACAGGAUUAGAUACCCUGGUAGUCCAUGCCGUAAACGGUGGGCGCUAGGUGUGAGGGUCUUUCUACGACUUUCGUGCCGUAGCUAACGCAUUAAGCGCCCCGCCUGGGGAGUACGGCCGCAAGGCUAAAACUCAAAGGAAUUGACGGGGGCCCGCACAAGCGGCGGAGCAUGUGGAUUAAUUCGAUGCAACGCGAAGAACCUUACCUGGGCUUGACAUACAUCAGAUCGCUGCAGAGAUGUAGUUUCCCUUUGUGGUUGGUGUACAGGUGGUGCAUGGUUGUCGUCAGCUCGUGUCGUGAGAUGUUGGGUUAAGUCCCGCAACGAGCGCAACCCUUGUCUUAUGUUGCCAGCAUUUGGUUGGGGACUCAUGAGAGACUGCCGGGGUUAACUCGGAGGAAGGUGGGGAUGACGUCAAAUCAUCAUGCCCCUUAUGUCCAGGGCUUCACACAUGCUACAAUGGUCGGUACAAUGCGUUGCGACACUGUGAGGUGGAGCGAAUCGCUGAAAGCCGGUCUUAGUUCGGAUUGGGGUCUGCAACUCGACCCCAUGAAGUCGGAGUCGCUAGUAAUCGCAGAUCAGCAAUGCUGCGGUGAAUACGUUCCCGGGCCU